UAGGGAAUCUUCCGCAAUGGGCGAAAGCCUGACGGAGCAACGCCGCGUGAGUGAUGAAGGUCUUCGGAUCGUAAAACUCUUUUAUUUGGGAAGAACAAAUGUGUAAGUAACUAUGCACGUCUUGACGGUACCUAAUCAGCAAGCCCCGGCUAACUACGUGCCAGCAGCCGGGGUAAUACGUAGGUGGCAAGCGUUAUCCGGAAUUAUUGGGCGUAAAGCGCGCGUAGGCGGUUUUUUAAGUCUGAUGUGAAAGCCGGCGGCUCAACCGUGGAGGGUCAUUGGAAACUGGAAAGCUAGAGUGCAGAAGAGGAGAGUGGAAUUCCAUGUGUAGCGGUGAAAUGCGCAGAGAUAUGGAGGAACACCAGUGGCGAAGGCGACUUUAUGGACUAUAACUGACGCUGAUGUGCGAAAGCGUGGGGAUCAAACAGG
This 429-nucleotide ribosomal RNA is filed under the name Actinomycetes bacterium. RNAcentral describes it as "Actinobacteria bacterium partial 16S ribosomal RNA". It matches the Rfam family "Bacterial small subunit ribosomal RNA", at positions 355 to 776 of the family's 1533-position model. The record is from RNAcentral. Lineage: Bacteria; Bacillati; Actinomycetota; Actinomycetes.